Molecule: long non-coding RNA, 2559 nt
Filed under: Scophthalmus maximus (turbot)
Lineage: Eukaryota; Metazoa; Chordata; Actinopteri; Pleuronectiformes; Scophthalmidae
Description: lncRNA (ENSSMAG00000036133.1)
Source: RNAcentral
UUGAGUCUGAAGAGUCUGCGGGAGUUUGUCACUGAGGAGGGAGGAGGAGCAGCUGUCUUAUCCUCUUCCUCCCUCCUUCUCUCUUCACCUCCUUCUCUCCAACUCCCCUCCUUCCCUCCUCACUCCCUCCUCCUCCUCCUCCUCACCCCUCCUCCUCCUCACCCCUCCUCCCCCUCACCCCACCUCUCUUCAUCUCUCCUUCCCUCACCUCCUCCCCUUUUUUCUCUCCUUCCCUCCUCACCCCCUCUCCUUCCCUCACCUCCUCCUCACCCCUCCUCACUCCUCACCCCUCCUCCUCCUCCUCCCCCUCCUCCUCACCCCCUCCUCCUCCCCUCCCCUCCUCCCCCUCACCCCUCCUCCUCCCUCACCCUCCUCCUCCUCACCCCUCCUCCUCCCCUCACCCCUCCUCCUCCCUCACCCCUCUCCUUCCCUCACCCCUCCUCCCCUCACCCCCUUCCUCCCCCUCCUCCCCUCCCCCCUCCUCCUCCCCCCUCCUCCUCCCCCUCCUCCUCCUCACCCCCUCCCCUCCUCCCUCACCCCCUCCUCCUCCUCCCCUCCUCACCCUCUCCACCCUCCUCCUCCUCCUCACCCCUCCUCCUACCUCCUCACCCCUCCUCCUCCCUCACCUCCUCCUCCCUCCUCCUCCUCCUCCUCACCCCUCCUCCUCCUCACCCCCUCCUCCUCUCCUCCUCCUCACCCCUCCUCCUCCUCCUCCUCACCCCUCCUCCCUCCUCACCCCUCCUCCCCUCACCCCUCCUCCUUCCCUCAUCCUCCUCAUCCUUCCUCCUCCUCCUCACCCCUCCUCCCCUCCUCCCCCUCUCCCCCCCCCUCCCCCCUCCCCUCCCCUCCUCCUCCCCUCCUCACCCCUCCUCCCCUCCUCACCCCUCCUCCCCCUCACCCCCUCCUCCUCCCUCACCCCCUCCUCCUCACCCCCUCCUCCUCCUCCUCCUCACCCCCUCCUCCUCCUCCCCCCUCCUCCUUCCCUCACCCCUCCUCCCCUCCCCCUCCUCCUCCCUCCUCCUCCCUCACCCCCCUCCUCCCUCCUCCUCCCUCCUCCCCUCACCCCUCCUCCUCCCUCCCCUCCUCCUCCCCUCACCCCUCCUCCCCUCACCCCUCCUCCUCCUCCUCCUCCUCACCCCUCCUCCCCUCACCCCCUCCUCCUCCCCUCCUCCCCUCCUCCUCCUCACCCCUCCUCCUCCUCUCCUCUCCUCCCCUCCUCCCUCACCCCUCCUCCUUCACCCCCUCCUCCUCCCUCACCCCUCCUCCUCACCCCCUCCUCCUCCCUCACCCCCUCCUCCUCCCUCCCCUCCUUCCCUCCUCCCCUCACCCCCUCCUCCUCCUCACCCCCUCUCCUUCCUCCUCACCCCUCCCCUCACCCCUCUCCUCCCUCACCCCUCCUCCUCACCCCUCCUCCUCCCUCCUCCUCCUCCUCCCCUCACCCCCUCCUCCCUCCUCCUCCUCACCCCUCUCCUUCCCUCACCCCCCUCCUCCUCCCACCCCUCCUCCCCUCACCCCUCCUCCUCCCCUCACCCCUCCUCCUCCCCCUCCUCCCCUCCCUCCUCCCCUCACCCCCUCCUCCUCCCUCACCCCUCCUCCCACCCCUCCUCCUCACCCCCUCUCCUUCCCUCCUCCUCCUCACCCCUCCUCCUCCUCAUUCCUUCCCUCCUCCCCUCACCCCCUCCUCCUUUCCUCCUCCCCCCUCUUCCUUCACCCCUCCUCCUCCUCACCCCCUCCUCCUCCCUCCUCACCCCUCUCCUCCUCCUCCUUCCCUCACCUCCUCCUCACCCCUCCCCUCCUCCUCCUCACUCCUCACCCCCUCUCCUUCCCUCCUCCCCUCUCCUUCCCUCCUCUCUCCUCCCUCCUCACCCCCUCCUCCCCUCACCCCUCCUCCUCAUCCCCCUCCUCCUCCUCCUCCCCUCACCCCUCCUCCUCCUCCUCCUCACCCCUCCUCCUCCCCUCACCCCCUCCUCCUCCCCUCCUCCUCCUCACCCCCUCCUCCUCCUCACCCCCUCCUCCCCUCCCCUCCUCCUCACCCCUCCUCCUCCUCACUCCUCACCCCCUCCUCCCCUCCUCCUCCCUCACCCCCUCCUCCCCUCCCUCCUCCUUCCCCUCCCCUCACCCCUCCUCCCCUCAUCCCUCCUCCUCCUUCCCUCCUCACCCCUCCUCCCCUCACCCCCUCCUCCUCCUUCCCUCCUCACCCCUCCUCCCCUCACCCCUCCUCCUCCUCUCCUCCUCACCCCUCCUCCUCACCCCUCCUCCUCACCCCCUCCUCCCCUCACCCCCUCCUCCCCUCACCCCUCCUCCUCCUCCCCUCCCUCACCCCUUUCCCCUCAUCUCCUUCCCUCACCUCCUCCUCCCCCUCCUCCCCUCACCCCUCCUCCCCUCACCCCUCCUCCCCUCACCCCUCUCCUUCCCUCACCUCCUCCUCACCCCUCCUCCCCUCACCCCUCCUCCCCUCACCCCUCCUCCUCCUCCUCCUCACCCCCUCUCCUUCUCAGAUUCCUUUUUGAUGAAAAGUCAACAGCAUUAAAGCCCCAGAAGCUUCCAGAUGUGUCAUAA